GCUGGGCAUGGUGGCACGUGCCUGUAGUGCCAGCUACUCAGGAGGCUAAGGCAGGAGGAUCAUUUGAGUCCAAGAGUUCUGGGUUGUAAUGCACUGUGUCUAUCAGGUGUUUGCACUAAGUUCAGCAUCAAUAUAGUGACCUCCCAGGAGUGGGGGACCACCAGGCUGCCUAUGAACCAGCCCAGGUUGGAAAUGGAGCAGGUCAAAACUCCCACGCUGAUCAGUAUUGGGACUGUACCUGUGAAUAGCCACUGCGCUCCAGCCUGGGCAACACAGUGAGACCCUGUCUCUA
Molecule: non-coding RNA, 292 nt
Organism: Pongo abelii (Sumatran orangutan)
Lineage: Eukaryota; Metazoa; Chordata; Mammalia; Primates; Hominidae
Source: Rfam